Molecule: unclassified non-coding RNA, 388 nt
Filed under: uncultured Glomus
Lineage: Eukaryota; Fungi; Glomeromycota; Glomeromycetes; Glomerales; Glomeraceae
Description: SSU rRNA
Rfam family: Eukaryotic small subunit ribosomal RNA
Source: RNAcentral
AGCAGCCGCGGUAAUUCCAGCUCCAAUAGCGUAUAUUAAAGUUGUCGCAGUUAAAAGCUCGUAGUUGAAUUUCGGGGUCAGUAGGCUGGUCGUGCCACCGGUACGUACUGGUCUCACUGAUUCCUCCUUCCUGAAGAACCGUAAUGCCAUUAAUUUGGUGUUGCGGGGAAACNGGACUGUUACUUUGAAAAAUUGAGCGUUUAAAGCAGGCUAACGCUUGAAUACAUUAGCAUGGAAUAAUGAAAUAGGACGAUCGAUCCUAUUUUGUUGGUUUCUAGGAUUGACGUAAUGAUUAAUAGGGAUAGUUGGGGGCAUUAGUAUUCAAUUGUCAGAGGUGAAAUUCUUGGAUUUAUUGAAGACUAACUACUGCGAAAGCAUUUGCCAAGGA